This 253-nucleotide ribosomal RNA is filed under the name uncultured bacterium. Its description in RNAcentral is "partial 16S ribosomal RNA". It matches the Rfam family "Bacterial small subunit ribosomal RNA", at positions 524 to 776 of the family's 1533-position model. The record is from RNAcentral.
UACAGAGGGGGCAAGCGUUGUUCGGAAUUACUGGGCGUAAAGGGCGCGUAGGCGGCCUGCUAAGUCGAACGUGAAAUCCCUGGGCUCAACCCAGGAACUGCGUCCGAUACUGGUUGGCUUGAAUCCGGGAGAGGGAUGUGGAAUUCCAGGUGUAGCGGUGGAAUGCGUAGAUAUCUGGAGGAACACCGGUGGCGAAGGCGACAUCCUGGACCGGCAUUGACGCUGAGGCGCGAAAGCCAGGGGAGCAAACGGG